ACUGCAGGCUGCAACUCGCCUGCACGAAGUCGGAAUUGCUAGUAAUCGUAGGUCAGCAUACUACGGUGAAUACGUUCCCGGGCCUUGUACACACCGCCCGUCAAACCAUGAGAGUUGGCAACACCCGAAGUCGGUAGUCUAACCGCAAGGAGGACGCCGCCGAAGGUGGGGUUGAUGAUUAGGGUUAAGUCGUAACAAGGUAGC
RNAcentral lists this ribosomal RNA (204 nucleotides) under uncultured bacterium. Its description in RNAcentral is "partial 16S ribosomal RNA". It matches the Rfam family "Bacterial small subunit ribosomal RNA", at positions 1297 to 1500 of the family's 1533-position model. The record is from RNAcentral.